AGAGCCGACGAUAGCCGAGUUCAGCCGAAGUGCCGAAACAAGCCCAGCUUAGACCAACAGCCGAACCAAACCGCCGCUGCACGUACGUGUUUUAAUCGCGUAACCAGGCGGACUCGGGAAAGCCGACAGCCGGAGUAGAUUUCUCUUUGGUCUGUGUCUGUGAGGAGCGGGCUGUGUGCUGGACAGGCAGAGACGCUGUCGGAGCGUGGCGACAGCGCCAGCUGUGAGCUCUGACGAUGAUGAGGGCUCCGAGCAGCCCCAGCCCUGAGCUGCGAGGAUGAGGAGGGGGCGGCUCCUGCCGGGAGGAGGCUGUUUUAGGGGGGAAGGGGUUGCCUGAGCUCCCUUUUGCCUGGAGCUGCUGAGCAGAGGGGUUUAUGGGGGGCUCCCGGCGCUGUCUCGUGGAAGGACGCCGAGAGCUUCUCCGAGGGUCUGGGGGAACACCUGGAUACGCACUUGGAUGCGUGGAGCAUUGCUCAAAGGAGGUGCCGAGGAACAAAGCUCCGUGCCGGGAAGCAGCAGCCGAACAGCUGUGACCAAGGGACCAGAGCCCGGUGACAGCGGGAAAUUGCCAGCGAGAGAGGCGGCCUUCCUUUGCAGCGGACGUGGAUUCUCAUCCCAGGAUGCUCGAGAGAUAAGUCGAGGGCUGUGCCACGCUGAGGGGAUGGAAGCGAGGUGCUGGGAGGGCCUUUUGAGUAGCUUCUUGGGAGGCAGGGAUGUGCAGGAGAUGGCCCCUUAGGCCACAUGGAGGAGAAGUCUCAGCGUGCUGAGGUGCUCAGGGCAGAGCGGUCCUGGUGCCUGUCACUUGUGUCACUUGUCUGUCGUGCCUUCUGUGUCUUUUGGAUGUCUCGUGUCUUGUGCCUUAGUCCUUUGAGGGGCUUAUGGUUUGUCCUGUUCUGUGUCACGGGUGUCUGGGUGUUUGGGCCGAUGCCGCUCUGCCCUGCUGCAAAGCCUGGUGUAGGUAUCAUAGGAGAAGUCCUGGGGGCCUGGAAAGAUGCUGGUUUUUUCUGGAAGAUUUACGUGAGAGCAGAAAAGUUACAAUGGCAUUGCAGUUCCCUGCACAGAAAAGACCCAGGGAAGCGGAACACAGCCAGGUGGUUUUGUGUGGCACCACAACUGAGAGCAUCAGUUAGGUGAGGAGGCGCGAGCAGCUCCCCGCUUUCGCAGACACAGUAGCAAUGUCAAGCAGUUUCGCCCUUUUCCAGACCACUGGCACGUGCUUGGGGACAAUAAGCUGUAUUUUUUACAGCCAGGUCUUCUGAGCCGCACUCCUCCUGCUCUGGGGUGGCCGCUGCUCACUGAUCACGGUGAAAACAACCUUGUGUCCCGGCACCCUGCAAAAUUCCCAGCUUAGAUGCCACUGAAGCGCAGCUUUGGCUUUCAGGCAUCUCCCUUGCAACCUGUGCCUUGUGUGGUCUCUGCAGGGAAUUAGUUAUUAAUUAAUUGCUUCCAAUUUUUUUUUAAUUUCCAAAGAAUAUCAGGUGACUUUUACAUCCUCUUCAGUGCUCCCCAAGCUUCACACCACACCUAAGUGCUGACUUUCACUGCCUACAGGUCUUUUCUGACCGAAAUGAUACUGCGAAUUCUUCCCUUAACUUGAGCUUAAGGGCAAAGCGCCGCAUUGAUUGCAUUUUGGAGAGAGAGGUUUGAAGGCUCGGCUGUAAAUUUCUCUUGUGUCCCGUCUUCCGGGUUCAUUCGUGUUGUAAUUUGCAAGUGGCAGAAGAGCGUUGCUGUUUAUUAAAAGCAAUAGCGCUCUCAAAGUGUCGAUGGGGGUGAUGAUGGCAGGGGUGACAAUUGCGAAAAAUAACUUUGCCCACAUCUUCCCCAGGGCCUGGGCAGAGAGAGGUGGAGCUGGGCCGUGGAGUCCCCCGGAUCCUUCCACGGGUGUGGGCGUCUGCAGCACCGGGGAUCCGUGGCAACAACUCCUUCCUGCAGAGGCUGAAAGCUGAGCCUACAAUUUCAAGCAGGACAAUCACCUUCCCAAGGCAAUAACAAGCGCCUCCCAAGAGCAGCUGGUGAAGGCGGCUCAGAAGGGAUGUGGUGAAACGUUUGGUCCAUCCAUCGUGCUUCUGGACGUGCAGGAAUCUUCAAAAUCCUUUCCUCCUCCUCAAGACUCUGGGGCUCCUCAUUCCGUAGAAGUGUGUGAGACAGAAAGGCCCUUCCCGGGGAGGGAUAACGGCACUGAAAGAUCUUUUCCGGGAAAAGCAGAACACUGGAACACGGAAGUAGCCUUCAGUUCCUGCAGCAGAUUUGGGACCACGUGGAAGGAGGAGCAGAGCUGGCCCGGUGCCACAGCUGCGCAUGCAGUGGGGAUGGAGAAGCUGCCAUUGUCUGUCUUCUCGGCUGAGCCUUUAAAAACAAGGCACGUCUCUGUAGUGCCUUUUCGAGCCUGACAUAAAAGUUCCCCCUAGACGUCCAAAGGCAGCUGUUUUCUUAGCAGAAGGCGGUCAGGAAGAGGCAAAGCAGGCAAAGGCAUCAGCUAAGUCUGGCUAAAGAAGUUGGCUAACCUGUUUCUCCCCCCUUCUAAGCAGCCAAUUUGGAAGCUCUCUGCAGAGAUCUAUCUGCCUGGGAGGAGAAGCAGAGCCAACCACUGAAAAGUGGCACGUGAGCUCUGGUGAGGACUGCUGCUCCGCCUGCCUUGGUGUGGGAACUGCUGAGCUGCCAUUCCUGUGGUGGGAGUGUUUCUCCUCUCAUGCAGGCAAGGCAGAGACCUUCCAGGUAAGGAGCAGGUAAGGUUUAAGUGACGAGAUGUCCCAAGGAAGAAGUGACAUGACAAAAGGAAAUGGCCUCGAGUUGCACCAGGGAAGGCUUAGAUUGGAUUGUAGGAAACACUUCCUGACUGAAAGGGUGGUGAGGCAUUGGAGCAGGCUGCCCAGGGAAGUCCCCGUCCCUGGAGACAUGGAAAGGAUGUGUAGACGUGGUGUUUAGGGACCUGAUUUGGGGGUGGGGGGGGCUUGGCAGUGCUGGGGCAACGAGGGAGGCAGGGAGGGAGAAAAAUCCUCUCUUAACAUGUACCAAUUAAUCUGUGAAACUCAUCACGGCAGGACAGCAGGAAGACUGAAAGUGUGAUAAGGUGUGGAGUGAAAUGGAGAAUCCGAGAAGUGACAAGAGCAUCCGGUGCACAGGGGGACUGUGCAGUUUGCUUUUUGCUUGGAUUUCAACUCCAAAGUUGUGAGGAAUUUGGAAUGAGAUGGGACAUUUCAGAAGAAGACCAAGGAGAGGAAGAAGAAGUUGUUGCAGUCCUGGCAAAAUCUUUUUUUCCUAGCUAAUAAAAGAAGUUAGUUUGAAAAAAAAAAAAAAGUGUUUUUUUUUCCUUCACUCGUAUAUUCUUUGGUGGUGGAUGUAUGGUGUGUUGUUUUCCUUUUUGUAUUAUUAACUAUGUGCAAUUUGGUUUUGGAGUGAAGAUAACCUUAUGGAUGGGGUUGGUUUGUAUUUGAGGUAGAAUUAAUUUCAAUUGGUUUCCUUAACAGACUUCUGAGAUGUAUAAUAUUGGGAUUUUGGUUGUGUUCCUUGUAUGUGUAAAGAUACAGAUUUGGUAGGGCUAGCUGGGCUGCUGGAGUUUUGGGUGUUAAUUUAUUAGAUGGCUUUUGCUGGAUGCCAUUUUUAAUUUUUGAAAGUUUUUUUCAUGUAGCAGUUUUAAAGUGGUUUGUUUUAUAUUUAUAUAUAUUUAUAUAUAUUUAUAUAUAUUUAUUUAUAUUUAUAUAUAUUUAUAUAUUUAUAUAUUUAUUUAUUUAUAUAUAUUUAUAUAUUUAUUGUUUUAUAUUUUAUGAUAAGGAUAGCGUAUACUGUGUACAGGUGUUCAUUAAGGUAUUAUAUUUUAGCAGGUCUGAAGUGUUAAGUUAAUGAAUUUAUAUAGUUCACCAGACAGGGAUUAUUUGUGUUUAUUUAGUUAGAGGCAGGGCUUUUUUAGCUUUAAGGGUGAUUUUAGCAAAGAUAUCAGAGGUUUUAUUAACUAUAUUGGGAAUGGGGGUCUUUGUAAAUAAGUGUGGUAGCUAGAUUGUGGGAAAAUGGAAUUGACAUAUUUGGUGAAAUUCUUGGGUAUUGUCCUUUCGGAAAUUUAUGAUUGUAUUGCUGAUUGCAGCUGUGACCAAGCGACCAGAGCCCGGUGACUGUAGGACAUUGCCAGCGAGAGAGGCGGCCUUCCUUUGCAGCGGACGUGGAUUCUCAUCCCAGGAUGCUCGAGAGAUUCUCAUCCCAGGAUGCUCGAGAGAUAAGUCGAGGGCUGUGCCACGCUGAGGGGAUGGAAGCGAGGUGCUGGGAGGGCCUUUUGAGUAGCUUCUUGGGAGGCAGGGAUGUGCAGGAGAUGGCCCCUUAGGCCACAUGGAGGAGAAGUCUCAGCGUGCUGAGGUGCUCAGGGCAGAGCGGUCCCGGUGCCUGUCACUUGUGUCACUUGUCUGUCGUGCCUUCUGUGUCUUUUGGAUGUCUCAUGUCACGUGUCUUGUGCCUUAGUCCUUUGAGGGGCUUAUGGUUUGUCCUGUUCUGUGUCACGGGUGUCUGGGUGUUUGGGCCGAUGCCGCUCUGCCCUGCUGCAAAGCCUGGUGUAGGUAUCAUAGGAGAAGUCCUGGGGGCCUGGAAAUUUGUAAUGCAGGAUGUAGGUGAGCUCUGGAUGGGAUUUGUAGAUUGACGCUAGAUGUCUGGAGCUCCUGUGGUAUCCUGCAGCACUCUGACUUUUGUGCUAACGUUCUUUCAGGUGCAGCCAGCUGAAUUCCGUGGCAGAGGGGCCCGUGCCGGGUGAGUGGGUUGCCCCAAGCAGGUCAGUCUCCGUUCGGCUUUGCAGGGGAAGCAUACGUGGAGACUCUGUGUUCACUGCGUUGUUCUUUGUCUUGAUUUUUAGGAAGUCAAGCCGGGUAUCAGCAGGCAAGGUGAGCAGAGACUGGUGAAAGGAAGCAGGUGGUAUUGCUCAGGUCUCGAUUUCUGGUGCAACACUUAGGCUCCGUUCUCAUUUGUGUGCUUUAGGCGUUCCACUCACUGCUUUAGGCCGAGACCCCCUCAGCAACUGGCCAAUGGACCCGGUUCAUGGCUUUUAUGGGAAUUGGUCUUGAGGAGUAAAUUUCUGUUCAAGUGAUUUUUUUUUUUUUUAAUCUAUUAUUAUGUUGUGUCUUAGUCCUGUUAAUUGUUUUGAAUUUUAUUUUUGAUACUUUGAGGCAACUUCUUUGUGGUUUUCUGUUUUUUUGUUUGGUUUUUUUUGUAGCUAAUAUUAUACAAGUUUUUUUUUUCUAAUGAUUUUAGUAAUUUUAAUUAUUGUGGCUUAACUGUAAUUUGGGUAAGGGUGUAUAAAUUGUAGUUUAAGAGUUUGUGAUAUAUAGGAUUUAUUGAUUUACAAUUUAAAGUUUGCGAGUGAUAACGUUAGGUGUUAAGAGGUAUACUAGCAAUGUAUGUAGAAAAUGGAUUUUUAGGAUUGGUGACUGAUGAACACUGUAUUUGGAUGCGUGGUUUUAGUUAGGGUUGCUUAUGUGUUUUGUUUUGGUUGUGGAACUAUUUAUGUAGGGUUUUUUUGGUGUAUUUUAAAUAACGUUUGACACAGUGAGUAGCAAUCUCGUCUAUUUAUUUUUUGUGGAAACAGGUAUAACUUUUUUUUCAGGUUAUGAAAUUUACAGGAUUACUUUAUUGAUUACUUACUAAAUAUUGUUCUCGAGUAGGUUUUCGUAACUCUGAUUUUGAAAUCAAAGAAAAAUGAGUGGAAAAAGAUGAGGUAGAGCAGUUUUCUCCUUAUGGGAUAUAAAGGGUUUAACACAGAA
Molecule: long non-coding RNA, 5735 nt
Organism: Passer domesticus (house sparrow)
Lineage: Eukaryota; Metazoa; Chordata; Aves; Passeriformes; Passeridae
Exons: 4
Source: RefSeq, a predicted model, not a curated record